This 492-nucleotide ribosomal RNA is filed under the name uncultured bacterium. RNAcentral's name for it is "partial 16S ribosomal RNA". It matches the Rfam family "Bacterial small subunit ribosomal RNA", at positions 29 to 507 of the family's 1533-position model. The record is from RNAcentral.
AGUGAACGCUGGCGGUAGGCCUAACACAUGCAAGUCGAACGGCAGCACAGUAAGAGCUUGCUCUUACGGGUGGCGAGUGGCGGACGGGUGAGGAAUACAUCGGAAUCUACUUUUUCGUGGGGGAUAACGUAGGGAAACUUACGCUAAUACCGCAUACGACCUACGGGUGAAAGCAGGGGAUCUUCGGACCUUGCGCGAUUGAAUGAGCCGAUGUCGGAUUAGCUAGUUGGCGGGGUAAAGGCCCACCAAGGCGACGAUCCGUAGCUGGUCUGAGAGGAUGAUCAGCCACACUGGAACUGAGACACGGCCCAGACUCCUACGGGAGGCAGCAGUGGGGAAUAUUGGACAAUGGGCGUAAGCCUGAUCCAGCCAUACCGCGUGGGUGAAGAAGGCCUUCGGGUUGUAAAGCCCUUUUGUUGGGAAAGAAAAGCAGCAGGUUAAUACCCCGCUGUUCUGACGGUACCCAAAGAAUAAGCACCGGCUAACUUCGUG